UGGCGGCGACCGGCUUGUUGGGUCAAAACAAACACUCCAAACCGGCGAUCUAUUAUCCGGUCAAUCGCACCCCCGAAGUUAUUUUUGAAUAUUCGAUACGCACCUAGCUAUCCGCUAGCUCUCGAUAAAUGUUGAUUCGAAUUAACUGUAGGAUUUAGGACACGAUGUGACAGAGUAUCGCUUUGUAUCGCUUCACCGACAGUCUCGCGAUGAUUCGACCGGAUCGACGUGGAUUACGAGAUUGUCGGGGAAUAUUGAGCAAUCGCGCGAACUCGUUGCGCACGUCGUUUUUCAAAAUAGAUGUUGAAACGUCGUAGAUUGCCGCGGAUCUAUAACGCGUAGAAAGCAACCGACGAUGCGAUUGGGUAACAAUUUCCGAUUGGCGGAUGCUGCAUGCAUGUUUGAUCGAUCCCUCGCGAAUUUCGCUCGAUAUCCAAAUGAUGCUCCAUCAUUUCGAUUAUGAAUAAUUUGUGCUGUUUUCUUCAGAUAUAUGUAUUAUACCUACAUACAUAUAUACGAUCAAACAUCCGUAUACUUUUAUUGUUCUAAUAAAGUUUAAAGUUUUAAAUGAAGAUUGUUUGAUAAGCUAUAUUUUUGUGUUAAUUUAGCUUUUCCUAGAAUCAUACAAUACUUAUUUGCAUAAAUCACAAUUGUUUGAUAAGCUAUCUUUACGAGCUUUUACACAACUUUUAGCUUUUCCUUGUACAACACUUAUUUAUGUAAAUUAUGUUAUAUAAUUGUUGAACAUAAAAAUAUAUUUCGGAUUCGAUAUCGUACAAUACAUGUGAGCAAGAGUUAGAAACAAAAUAUACAAUAGUAUAUA
Molecule: long non-coding RNA, 823 nt
Organism: Formica exsecta
Lineage: Eukaryota; Metazoa; Arthropoda; Insecta; Hymenoptera; Formicidae
Exons: 2
Source: RefSeq, a predicted model, not a curated record